UUCCGAUCAAGCAAGGCCAUAAGGCUACUAAAUGUCAAAGAUAGAUGAAUACCUAUGGUGUUCAUAAGGAAUAAAGAGAGGAGGGCAGAUCUGAGCACUUCCGCGAAUGGACCUCUUUCUUCAUCUAGAGUUUCUUCUUCAGACUCCUCGACUUCAUCAUAAUAAGACGAGAAGUUUUCCCCUGUAUGAUACCUUCCCCAGUAUCUCUCUCUUUGCAUUUUUCGUCUGAGAUCAGCCCACCUAUAGGUCCUUAUGCCAUCGUCAUAUUCAAAGUCGUAUUCCCAAUAUCCCCCCGAAGGCCUGUCAGUAUAAUCCUGAUGUCGAAG
This 326-nucleotide unclassified non-coding RNA is filed under the name Hevea brasiliensis (rubber tree). The record is from RNAcentral. Lineage: Eukaryota; Viridiplantae; Streptophyta; Magnoliopsida; Malpighiales; Euphorbiaceae.